Molecule: ribosomal RNA, 444 nt
Filed under: uncultured bacterium
Lineage: Bacteria
Description: SSU rRNA
Rfam family: Bacterial small subunit ribosomal RNA
Source: RNAcentral
AGAGCGAACGCUGGCGGCAGGCCUAACACAUGCAAGUCGAGCGCCCCGCAAGGGGAGCGGCAGACGGGAGAGUAACACGUGGGAACGUGCCCUUUGGUUCGGAACAACACAGGGAAACUUGUGCUAAUACCGGAUAAGCCCUUACGGGGAAAGAUUUAUCGCCAAAGGAUCGGCCCGCGUCUGAUUAGCUUGUUGGUGAGGUAACGGCUCACCAAGGCGACGAUCAGUAGCUGGUCUGAGAGGAUGAUCAGCCUCACUGGGACUGAGACACGGCCCAGACUCCUACGGGAGGCAGCAGUGGGGAAUAUUGGACAAUGGGCGCAAGCCUGAUCCAGCCAUGCCGCGUGGGUGAUGAAGGCCCUAGGGUUGUAAAGCCCUUUCGGCGGGGAAGAUAAUGACGGUACCCGCAGAAGAAGCCCCGGCUAACUUCGCGCCAGCAGCCGC